AACGCGAAGAACCUUACCCAGGCUUGAACAGCGAGUGACAAACUACGAAAGUGGUCUUCCGCAAGGACACUCGUAGAGGUGCUGCAUGGCUGUCGUCAGCUCGUGUCGUGAGAUGUUGGGUUAAGUCCCGCAACGAGCGCAACCCUUGUCUUCUGUUGCCAUCAGGUAAAGCUGGGCACUCUGGAGAGACUGCCGGUGAUAAACCGGAGGAAGGUGGGGAUGACGUCAAGUCAGCAUGGCCUUUAUGUCUGGGGCUACACACGUGCUACAAUGGCCGGCACAAACCGUCGCAAAACCGCGAGGUGGAGCUAAUCGGAUAAAGUCGGUCUCAGUUCGGAUAGCAGGCUGCAACUCGCCUGCUUGAAGUUGGAAUCGCUAGUAAUCGCGGAUCAGCACGCCGCGGUGAAUACGUUCCCGGGCCUUGUACACACCGCUCGUC
This 439-nucleotide ribosomal RNA is filed under the name uncultured bacterium. RNAcentral describes it as "bacterial SSU rRNA". It matches the Rfam family "Bacterial small subunit ribosomal RNA", at positions 958 to 1398 of the family's 1533-position model. The record is from RNAcentral.